RNAcentral lists this non-coding RNA (93 nucleotides) under marine eukaryotic metagenome. Its description in RNAcentral is "Pyrrolysine insertion sequence mttB". It matches the Rfam family "Pyrrolysine insertion sequence mttB". The record is from RNAcentral.
GAUUCCAAAUUGCCAGAUAUGCAGGCCGGAUGGGAACAGGGCAUCACAAAUGUGAUGGCUGGUUUGUCGGGUUUGAAUAUGGUCUAUGAAUCG